ACCUGAAAUCAAGCAAGAUCACCCGCUGAACUUAAGCAUAUCAGUAAGCGGAGGAAAAGAAACUAACAAGGAUUGCCUUAGUAGUGGCGAAUGAACCGGCAAUAGCUCAAAGUGUAAAUCUGAGGCAUCAAGUCUUAGAAUUGUAAUCUAUAGGCCUUUUAGGGAAGCCAUGGUUCUAGCAUAAGUUCCCUGAAAAGGGAUGCCAAAGAGGGUAAAAGCCCCGUAUUUGGUUAGGACUGGGUGUACCGAAGGGUUCCAAGAGUCGGGUUGUUUGGGAUUGCAGCCUAAAAUGGGAGAUAAACUUCUUCUAAAGCUAAAUAUUUAUGGGAAACCGAUAGCAAACAAGUACUACGAAGGAAAGAUGAAAAGAACUUUGAAAAGAGGGUUAAAAGACUUGAAAUCGUUGAGGAGAAAAGCGGUAGAAGAGAAAUGAUUUCAUUCAGGAGUAUGUAGUUUUGUUGGUGUCUUCUGCGGUAAUGGUACUUCAUAGGGCCUAGCUGUAGACCGGCGUCGCAUUGCUGCUUUUUCUGGGUGAAGUGCAAAAUGAGGUCUCGCUUGCGGAAACGUCUCUAGGGAGGACUCUGGCCUUGACGCUGGAAGCCCUGGUCUCCAA
This 613-nucleotide ribosomal RNA is filed under the name Paramecium sonneborni. RNAcentral's name for it is "eukaryotic LSU rRNA". It matches the Rfam family "Eukaryotic large subunit ribosomal RNA", at positions 1 to 571 of the family's 3401-position model. The record is from RNAcentral. Lineage: Eukaryota; Ciliophora; Oligohymenophorea; Peniculida; Parameciidae.